RNAcentral lists this non-coding RNA (26 nucleotides) under Rattus norvegicus (Norway rat). Lineage: Eukaryota; Metazoa; Chordata; Mammalia; Rodentia; Muridae. The record is from RNAcentral.
CAGGGACAGGACUCACCACGUGAAGC